RNAcentral lists this ribosomal RNA (494 nucleotides) under uncultured bacterium. RNAcentral's name for it is "partial 16S ribosomal RNA". It matches the Rfam family "Bacterial small subunit ribosomal RNA", at positions 28 to 507 of the family's 1533-position model. The record is from RNAcentral.
GACGAACGCUGGCGGCGUGCUUAACACAUGCAAGUCGAACGGAAAGGCCUGCUUUCCCUUGUGGAUUGCGGGUACUCGAGUGGCGAACGGGUGAGUAACACGUGAGUGAUCUGCCCCCAACUUGGGUAUAAGCCUGGGAAACUAGGUCUAAUUCCCGAUAGGACUGCAGGGUGGUGCCUGUGGUGGAAAACGAUUUUCUAGUGGUUGGGGAUGAGCUCGCGGCCUAUCAGCUUGUUGGUGGGGUAAUGGCCUACCAAGGCGGCGACGGGUAGCCGGCCUGAGAGGGUGGACGGCCGAAUUGGGACGGAGAUACGGCCCAGACUCCUACGGGAAGAAGCAGUGGGGAAUAUUGCACAAUGGGCGGAAGCCUGAUGCAGCGACGCCGCGUGGGGGAUGACGGCCUUCGGGUGGUAACCUCCUUUCGACCGCGAGGAAGCCACCUGGUUGGAAGGGUGGUGACGGUAGUGGUAGAAGAAGCACCGGCUAACUACGUG